This 300-nucleotide ribosomal RNA is filed under the name Triticum aestivum (bread wheat). RNAcentral describes it as "partial small subunit ribosomal RNA". Lineage: Eukaryota; Viridiplantae; Streptophyta; Magnoliopsida; Poales; Poaceae. The record is from RNAcentral.
AUGAGAUUCAUAGACAAAACAGAUUUGGAAUUGUUUUUCCUUCCUAGGAUAAAAUUCCAUGUGCUUCAGAUUAUUGGCCUGGAGCUCAUCAGCAGCUGUAUAGUGAAUCCUACCGUAUCAUGUCAAUCCCACCAGCCUCUGAUCCAUUCCCAUUCGCUCAUGGCAAGGGAGCAAGUCAAAAUAGAACAAGCAACAUUGGGUUUAGGGGCAAACCCAAAGAAAGGAAACUCCUUUUAUAUACUUUAUAUAGACCCUGAAGUUAAUGAUCAGCAGGUGACAUGGUUGGAACCCAUCAGGUGA